Molecule: long non-coding RNA, 217 nt
Filed under: Carica papaya (papaya)
Lineage: Eukaryota; Viridiplantae; Streptophyta; Magnoliopsida; Brassicales; Caricaceae
Description: long non-coding RNA (CPAP_LNC000709)
Source: RNAcentral
CUACUGUAGAUAUUACCUCAGUCAAACAGGGCUGAAAAGUUCUAUACCGAAAGGGGUUGGAAAGUAUUUGUUCAUUUUCAUACAGGACGAGAUAUUGAGGCGGUGGUACAUUUGGCAUCCAUUACCAAACGGGGUAUAAGGACGACCAGUUAUUUAAUAGAUUAGAUAUUGGGUCUACGUAUAAGGAGAACUCCUAUGGACCCCUAAAGAUAUUGAU